UGGGUUUGACAUAUUUCUGACAUCCGUAGAGAUACGGCUUUCCUUCGGGACAGAUAUACAGGUGCUGCAUGGCUGUCGUCAGCUCGUGUCGUGAGAUGCUCGGUUAAGUCCGGCAACGAGCGCAACCCAUGUCGUUAGUUGCAAACAGUUCGGCUGUGCACUCUAGCGAGACUGCCCGUGUCAAGCGGGAGGAAGGCGUGGACGACGUCAAGUCCGUAUGGCCCUUAUGCCCAGGGCUGCACACGUGCUACAAUGGCCGGAACAAUGGGACGCAAUGCCGCGAGGCGGAGCAAAUCCUCAACAUCGGCCCCAGUUCGGAUUGGAGUCUGCAACUCGACUCCAUGAAGU
Molecule: ribosomal RNA, 348 nt
Filed under: uncultured bacterium
Lineage: Bacteria
Description: bacterial SSU rRNA
Rfam family: Bacterial small subunit ribosomal RNA
Source: RNAcentral